CUCUGUGACUCCUACGGGGAGGCAGCAGUGGGGAAUAUUGCACAAUGGGGGAAACCCUGAUGCAGCCAUGCCGCGUGUGUGAAGAAGGCCUUCGGGUUGUAAAGCACUUUCAGUAGGGAGGAAGGUAGUGUAGUUAACACCUGCAUUAUUUGACGUUACCUACAGAAGAAGCACCGGCUAACUCCGUGCCAGCAGCCGCGGUAAUACGGAGGGUGCGAGCGUUAAUCGGAAUUACUGGGCGUAAAGCGCAUGCAGGCGGCCUGUUAAGUCAGAUGUGAAAGACCCGGGGCUUAACCUCGGAAUUGCAUUUGAAACUGGCAGGCUAGAGUCUUGUAGAGGGGGGUAGGAAUUUCAGGUGUAGCGGUGAAAUGCGUAGAGAUCUGAAGGAAUACCAGUGGCGAAGGCGGCCCCCUGGACAAAGACUGACGCUCAGAUGCGAAAGCGUGGGGAGCAAACAGGAUUAGAUACCCUGGUAG
RNAcentral lists this ribosomal RNA (476 nucleotides) under uncultured bacterium. Its description in RNAcentral is "bacterial SSU rRNA". It matches the Rfam family "Bacterial small subunit ribosomal RNA", at positions 328 to 793 of the family's 1533-position model. The record is from RNAcentral.